GCGUGAAUGAAGAAGGCCUUAGGGUUGUAAAGUUCUUUCACCUGUGAAGAUAAUGACGGUAGCAGGAGAAGAAGCCCCGGCUAACUCCGUGCCAGCAGCCGCGGUAAGACGGAGGGGGCUAGCGUUGUUCGGAAUGACUGGGCGUAAAGGGCGCGUAGGCGGUUUUUUAAGUGAGGCGUGAAAGCCCUGGGCUUAACCCAGGAAUUGCGCUUCAGACUGGAAAACUGGAGUACGAGAGAGGAAAGUGGAAUUCCUAGUGUAGAGGUGAAAUUCGU
This 275-nucleotide ribosomal RNA is filed under the name uncultured bacterium. RNAcentral's name for it is "partial 16S ribosomal RNA". It matches the Rfam family "Bacterial small subunit ribosomal RNA", at positions 399 to 691 of the family's 1533-position model. The record is from RNAcentral.